This 3399-nucleotide long non-coding RNA is filed under the name Podarcis lilfordi (Lilford's wall lizard). Lineage: Eukaryota; Metazoa; Chordata; Lepidosauria; Squamata; Lacertidae. The record is from RNAcentral.
GCUGAAGAUCCAGCCCUCCAGCAUGGCUCUGUUGAUGAGCACAGUGCACUUCGUGUGUCAUAUGUGAGACUGCAGGAGGCCAAUGUCCAGCCAUUGGGAGGAGGCCUCAAACAUUCAGGGGCCCUGGCCCCUUUCCUACAGGUAUUGAGGGGACCAAAGACCCCUUAGCCCCCUAGUGUUGGCACGCCUGCUACCUCCUGCCUUUGCCCUGCCCUGAGCGUACCAGGCAAAGGAAGUACAGUCCUUUGUAACUUAUAAAGUAGCAUUAUAUGCGUUGGCAGCUAAGAAGAUCAGGAGAAAAGAGCUAGAUGAAAUAGCGGUCAACUACAAAGGGGAUUUGGACAUUUAAACUGGCAUAUUUUAUCUGAGAUUUCCCUGCUAGUCUAGCUUAUGCAACAAAUAAUCUCUAGGAGACGUGUCCGUGGUUUGUUGCACCGGUAGUUCUAAAUGUUUUUUUAAAAUGUUUUUAUGGUUAUUGCUGUUUUUACUUUUGUUCCCCCUGUGAACGAUGCGAUGGCCUUUGGCUAACGCAAUAAAGUUUAUGAAUGAAUGAAAAAGUACAGUUGUACAUCUACUUCUGUAUCCCUCUGGAUACAGAAUCUUUGGGUUACGGCCACAGCAAACCCAGAAGUGUAUACUUCUGGGUUUUGCCAUGCGCACAUGCACAGAAGCGCUCAAUUGCGCCAUGCACGUGCGCAGAAGCGUGCCUCUAUUUACAUAAUUUCCAGGUGUGAACAGACCUCCAGAACGAAUUAAGUUUAUAUCCAGAGGGUCCACUCUAUGAUGAUUCUGACGGGAACGCGCUAGGUCUCCCCCUUAAGCAGAUCCCACUAGCCAUCAUAUAUGAGCCUCCAGCCCAGACAGCAUCCACAGAGGCCCAUGCAAACUUACAGCAGCCGUAUAUGGCAAGCCUGCCCUACUUCCCAGGCAUUGGGUUGGGCUUUAAUUGUGGGAGUACAAGUCCCUACAUGCAGGGCUGUACCAACAAUGAAACACAGUGAAGCUGUGAAUAAAGGCAGCAGAUUCCUGAGAGGGUACCAGCUUCCCCCCUCUUCCUCUAAUCAUUACCACCUUUGCAUCAUUAAAAAAAAAAUGCAUGUGGAGAAAGGAAUAUUAUUGCACUUCUUAAAUGUGCAAAGCUAUAGUGCUCAUUUUGCAUGGAAAAUUGCCCCCUUCAAGAAGUGCUUGAAGAAUUCAAUCCUUGUGAUCUCUGGUGGGAACUGAUCUGAUCCUGCAGCUCCUAGACUAAUGUGCAGAUUACAGAGUUUCAGAUGAUACCAACUGGGAUCUUCUGCUUUUUAAAAAAAACGCUGCACUUAGAAGGUUUGUUGAAAGAGGCAACUCUUCAACAUACACCGAAAAGAAUAUCCUGUAUCUGCGUAAUAUAUAAAGAGGGGGAGUUUUAGAGGGUAGGUGCCACCACACUAAAGGCCCAAUUCUGGCAUCGUGCAGAAUGUACCUCCUUAUAAAGAUGAUAUCAAUCAAUCAAUAUUUUAUUGCGGUCCAAAGACCCAUAAAACAUAAAACAAUUUCAAAACUAGAUACAGUUAAAAUGACCAGACAGACAGAUGGAAGAAACCAAGGCAGUCAUUUUGUUUUAUCUAGGGCAUAAUGAUCUUUAUUUAUUAUAACCCCUGAAAAAAACUUUGCCACGGCCAGUGGAAUAUCGUUUGACGUAUCUUCCAAAAGAUAUUUAAUAUGGGAGGCUUCAGAUUUUCCUGGCAAAUUUGCCAGUAAGGGUUUGAUCAGUUGAUCCCUUGCUUGCUCAUAUUGCCCAAAAUGCAGUAGGAUAUGCUUCAUAUAAUCGACGUCCUGGGAACAUAAACAAAGCCAAUUCUGAUGGGGGAUGCCUCUCAGUCUGCCAUUGAGAACUUCUGAGGGAAAUACAUUUAGUCUGGCUUUGGUAAAUAAACGCCAAUAGGUAGGUACAGACAAAUUUGUAGGGUAUGAGGAUACCUGAAAGUCGUACCUGUAUUGGAUUCCAGCUGCAACAGGGAUACAAAUUACAUAUGAUUGGGGUCACAGGUUGCUAUGUGAGAUGUCCCAAAGCCUUUGCCUCAGGGAUUCAAUGGCAAUGUCGUAACCCAGAUGAUAUAAGAGGGAUGAUGGCAGUCCAAUCAAGGAGGCUUUUCUGGCCAUAGUUUUCAGCCAUAGGCUGACAAAUUCUCAUUGUACUAAAUGUACUAAUUCUUGUUGUACUAAAUGUACUAAUAAUCCCUUCCCCAUGCCAAAUACUGAGAUCUUGAGCCAGUAUCUCAAUGCAACUCACCAUGUUUUGAAGGAGAGUGGGCAUUCACCUGUUUCCAGAAACAGAAUUGAAUUUGGGACACAGUUUGGGACCUGUAAUAGGGACCAAAGAAAGAUGUCUUCUCCAGCAGAACUCAGCAGUCAGUUGAGUAUUUAUAAUAUACCAUUUUAAGUUUCCUGGUCCCAAGCUAUAUAUGGCUUUGUUCACCUGUACAAGCAGCUUGGAAUUAGGCAGUUAGCUGAUGGGCAGCCAAUGCCAUUCUUUCUGGCAUAAUACGAUGGUGAUAUUCUUCCCCAAGGAGCAGUCGAGCCACUGCACUUUUGCACUAGCUGCAGCUUCCAGGUCAUUCUCACUCUAUAUAUGGCAGUAAUCCAAUCUGGAGGUCACCAGCACAUGGACCAAAGCUGGGAAAAGGCAAUCCUAACCACUGAGGUCACUUGGGGCACUAGCGACAGAGAUGGAUCCAGUAGUAGCACACCCUGCCUCUAUGAACCUGCUCCUUCAACAGGAGUGUGGCCCCAUCCAAAACAGGCAAUAGCCCCAUUAUCCAAACUCAGGAACCACCCCUACAGCAUCUCUGCUGACUUGCAUGGUUCCUGUGUGGGGAAAAUAGAAUCCAAAUACAUUUUGUAGAAAUGCAUAUUUUGAGCAAAAUACAUUUAUACUGAUAUUUUUUUUCUUAUUCACCAAUUUAUACAGAAAAGAAACAGAACAAAUUUGCAAGUAAACACAUACAACAGUGAUAUCCAUCUGGAGAUAGACUGAUUUGACCAUCCCUCUUUGGAUCCACAUCAGUUCAUCUGGGACAGAUUUAGUUUGGAGUGAUUGGCUACUAUGGUCUCCUGCCUCGUGGAUCUCUGACUGGGCUACAUCUUGAGCUUCUGGCUGGCGGCAGCUUGGAGAUUCACACAAAGGUGUGAAAUGGAGAAGACCACAAGAACAUUUCCAUGGCUGUCUUAGGAAAUUUCUUCUCGCUAUAGCAGUUUGGAACAGCAAGCUGGAGCUGGUAUCUUGGGUUCACCUGAGUUAUCAUUGACAAGAACCAUGCAUAUAUGGCUGUGGACAUCAUGAAACCUUAUAAUUAAUAUAUCAGGCUUCUACUUCAAAGGCAGGAUGUCCAAAUCCUCUUGUGGGUGUGGGUGAUUGCAGGA